This 484-nucleotide ribosomal RNA is filed under the name uncultured bacterium. RNAcentral's name for it is "bacterial SSU rRNA". It matches the Rfam family "Bacterial small subunit ribosomal RNA", at positions 21 to 507 of the family's 1533-position model. The record is from RNAcentral.
GGCUCAGGAUGAACGCUAGCGGCAGGCUUAACACAUGCAAGUCGAGGGGUAUAGUUCUUCGGAACUAGAGACCGGCGCACGGGUGCGUAACGCGUAUGCAAUCUACCUUUGCAGAGGGAUAGCCCAGAGAAAUUUGGAUUAAUACCUCAUAGUAUAGCAGUUUCGCAUGAAACCACUAUUAAAGUCACAACGGCAAAAGAUGAGCAUGCGUCCCAUUAGCUAGUUGGUAAGGUAACGGCUUACCAAGGCUACGAUGGGUAGGGGGUCCUGAGAGGGAGAUCCCCACACUGGUACUGAGACACGGACCAGACUCCUACGGGAGGCAGCAGUGAGGAAUAUUGAACAAUGGGCGCAAGCCUGAUCCAGCCAUGCCGCGUGCAGGAUGACGGUCCUAUGGAUUGUAAACUGCUUUUGUACAGGAAGAAACACUCCCUCGUGAGGGAGCUUGACGGUACUGUAAGAAUAAGGAUCGGCUAACUCCGUG